UUGUUACUGUGUCCGUUUCACUCAGCUUGCUGUGUCCGUUUAUUACUGUGCGCAUCUGGAACGCUCCCGAAUGUUCGACGUUCAAGAAGAUUUUGCAAAAAGAGAAAAGAAGGACCGGCUGGGAGAAUACAAAACAGUAAUCACAGAAAAAAGAAAAACUGAUACUGUAUACAAAUGCGCGAAGUUUGAUAGCCAAUAAGAUAGCCAAUAAUGAAAUACAUAAUCAAGUUAUAAACACGAUUCUUUCAGCGGUUAUAGCAUUGUUCGAAACGAGGCUAACGUUUGAAAUGGAAGAUAGUGAAGUAAAUGUGCCGGAUUAUGAUAUAAUCAGAUGUGAUAGUGAGAAUAGAAGUACAGCAGGUGCAAUAUUAUACCUAAAAGAAGCCAUUAAGGGGAUGCUGGAGUCGUCUGUUUUACCAAUUGAACACUAAUUAUUUUUGGAUACGCUUUGCUCUUAAUUGAUUUCAUAGAAUUGUAAAUCCUUCUCUAGAAUUUAAAUAUAAACAAUAACAAAGGGUGUGUAAUUACAAUUUCAUGUGAAAAACAAAAAAAGUUAGAAAAUUAUACUUUCGUGCAGCCGUCUUGUGACUUUAAUCUGCAGCACUAAGUUUUAAAGACUCUAUACGUACAAAAUAACUAUUAUGCACCCUUGUCAUUACAAAAAAGAAUAAUAAUGUGCUUUCAGAAAUAAGCUAGAAGCUUUAGUAUAAGGGAAUAAUGUAUCUGAAAAUUUCAUGUAUGUGUGAGUGUGGAUUCGAAAGAAGUUGAUAAGUAGAAUAAUAUGAAAACAGUUUUUUUUCGUUCUCGUUUGUUUGCUUGUGAACAGCUGCUUGCAAGGCAAAGACGGAAGGGAUUUCUACACCGCAUUGUGACUGGAGACUCAAAAUGGGGUCAUUACGAUAACCCCAAGCGCAGAAAAUCGUAGGGACUUCCUGGCCAUGCUUCCACGUCGACGGUCAAACCGAAUAUUCACGGCUCCAAGGCAAUUCGGUAUCAAAAGCAAUUGAUGCGUUUGAACCAAGCACUGAAAAACAAACAGCCGCAAUACAACGAUAGACACGAUAAAGUGAUUUUGCAACAUGACAAUGCUCGACCCCUUGUCGCAAAGCCCGUCAAAACAUACUUGGAAACGUUGAAAUGAGAAGUCCUACCCCACCCGCCAUAUUCUCCGGACAUUGCUCCCUCUGUCUAUCACUUGUUUCGAUCAAUGACACACGGUCUGCCUGACCAGCACUUCCGUUCUUAUGAAGAAGUGAAAAAUUGGAUCGAUUCGUGGAUCAUCUCAAAAGAUGACCAGUUUUUUCGACGCGGGAUUUGUAUGCUGCCAGAAAGAUAAAAGAAAGUAGUGGCCAGCAAUAGACAAUACUUUGAAUCGUAAAUGUAUAACCAGUUUUUCACAAUAAAACCUCGACUUUCGAAAAAAAA
This is a long non-coding RNA of Monomorium pharaonis (pharaoh ant), 1425 nucleotides long. RefSeq lists it as uncharacterized. NCBI's taxonomy places the organism in Eukaryota, Metazoa, Arthropoda, Insecta, Hymenoptera, Formicidae. The transcript is spliced from 2 exons. The record is from RefSeq and is a predicted model, not a curated record.